RNAcentral lists this ribosomal RNA (438 nucleotides) under uncultured bacterium. RNAcentral describes it as "bacterial SSU rRNA". It matches the Rfam family "Bacterial small subunit ribosomal RNA", at positions 339 to 794 of the family's 1533-position model. The record is from RNAcentral.
CUACGGGAGGCAGCAGUGGGGAAUCUUGCGCAAUGGGCGAAAGCCUGACGCAGCCAUGCCGCGUGUAUGAUGAAGGUCUUAGGAUUGUAAAAUACUUUCACCGGUGAAGAUAAUGACUGUAGCCGGAGAAGAAGCCCCGGCUAACUUCGUGCCAGCAGCCGCGGUAAUACGAAGGGGGCUAGCGUUGCUCGGAAUUACUGGGCGUAAAGGGAGCGUAGGCGGACAUUUAAGUCAGAGGUGAAAUCCCGGAGCUUAACUUCGGAACUGCCUUUGAUACUGGGUGUCUUGAGUGUGAGAGAGGUAUGUGGAACUCCGAGUGUAGAGGUGAAAUUCGUAGAUAUUCGGAAGAACACCAGUGGCGAAGGCGACAUACUGGCUCAUUACUGACGCUGAGGCUCGAAAGCGUGGGGAGCAAACAGGAUUAGAUACCCCGGUAGC